AGAGCGAGAGCGAGACAGCGCCAGAGAGAAUUAGCUACAACAGAAGGGAGAGCGAUGGAGAUUCCCGUGAUCCCGGAGCAGGAAGCAGAGCCGCAGGAAUUGGGAUACCCCAUGGCGAUCACAGUAACAAGCCAUUUGGACAAUGAGAACAGUGUGAGAGAGUUGGAGGAGGAGAAGAUCGAAAUGCUGGAGGUAAGGCUGAGGUUUCUGUUCACUCAGAAGGUUUGAGCUUCAAGCUCAAGAUCAGCGCUGAGUCUUCAGAGUCGGAUCUGGGGGGGAAGCAUUCCAUCAUGAGAGGUGCCAUCAAUCAGAUUAGAUGUUAAUACCAGAUGUCUGCCUGGUCAGGUGGACAUUAAAGAUU
Long non-coding RNA from Callorhinchus milii (elephant shark), 361 nucleotides. RefSeq lists it as uncharacterized. The transcript has 3 exons. NCBI's taxonomy places the organism in Eukaryota, Metazoa, Chordata, Chondrichthyes, Chimaeriformes, Callorhinchidae. The record is from RefSeq and is a predicted model, not a curated record.